This 392-nucleotide ribosomal RNA is filed under the name uncultured bacterium. RNAcentral's name for it is "bacterial SSU rRNA". It matches the Rfam family "Bacterial small subunit ribosomal RNA", at positions 28 to 421 of the family's 1533-position model. The record is from RNAcentral.
GACGAACGCUGGCGGCGUGCUUAACACAUGCAAGUCGAGCGGUAAGGCCCUUUCGGGGGUACACGAGCGGCGAACGGGUGAGUAACACGUGGGUGACCUGCCCUCAGCUCUGGGAUAAGCCUGGGAAACCGGGUCUAAUACCGGAUAUGACUCCAUGACGCAUGUUGUGGGGUGAAAGCCUUGUGCGGCUGAGGAUGGGCCCGCGGCCUAUCAGCUCGUUGGUGGGGUGAUGGCCUACCAAGGCGACGACGGGUAGCCGGCCUGAGAGGGCGACCGGCCACACUGGGGACUGAGACACGGCCCAGACUCCUACGGGAGGCAGCAGUGGGGAAUCUUGCGCAAUGGGCGAAGGCCUGACGCAGCGACGCCGCGUGAGGGAUGACGGCCUGGUG